Molecule: ribosomal RNA, 253 nt
Filed under: uncultured bacterium
Lineage: Bacteria
Description: partial 16S ribosomal RNA
Rfam family: Bacterial small subunit ribosomal RNA
Source: RNAcentral
UACGUAGGGUGCAAGCGUUAAUCGGAAUUACGGGGCGUAAAGCGUGCGCAGGCGGUUUUGUAAGUCUGUCGUGAAAGCCCCGGGCUCAACCUGGGAAUUGCGAUGGAGACUGCAAGGCUUGAAUCUGGCAGAGGGGGGUAGAAUUCCACGUGUAGCAGUGAAAUGCGUAGAGAUGUGGAGGAACACCGAUGGCGAAGGCAGCCCCCUUGGUCAAGAUUGACGCUCAUGCACGAAAGCGUGGGGAGCAAACAGG